This 64-nucleotide ribosomal RNA is filed under the name Agathobacter sp. Its description in RNAcentral is "partial 23S ribosomal RNA". Lineage: Bacteria; Bacillati; Bacillota; Clostridia; Lachnospirales; Lachnospiraceae. The record is from RNAcentral.
GCAGAGGUGGAAGUGUGGCAACACAUGGAGCUGACUGUUACUAAUAGGUCGAGGGCUUGAUUAA